UACGUAGGGACCAAGCGUUGUCCGGAAUCAUUGGGCGUAAAGAGCGUGUAGGCGGCUUGUUAAGUCUUGCGUGAAAUCUCGGGGCUCAACCCCGAGCGGUCGUGAGAAACUGGCAGGCUAGAGUGCGGGAGAGGAGAGUGGAAUUCCUGGUGUAGCGGUGAAAUGCGCAGAUAUCAGGAAGAACACCGGUGGUGUAGACGGCUCACUGGACCAUAACUGACGCUGAGACACGAAAGCGUGGGUAGCAAACAGG
Molecule: ribosomal RNA, 253 nt
Filed under: uncultured bacterium
Lineage: Bacteria
Description: partial 16S ribosomal RNA
Rfam family: Bacterial small subunit ribosomal RNA
Source: RNAcentral